RNAcentral lists this ribosomal RNA (499 nucleotides) under uncultured bacterium. Its description in RNAcentral is "partial 16S ribosomal RNA". It matches the Rfam family "Bacterial small subunit ribosomal RNA", at positions 28 to 507 of the family's 1533-position model. The record is from RNAcentral.
GACGAACGCUGGCGGCGUGCCUAAUACAUGCAAGUCGAGCGGACUUUCAAGAAGCUUGCUUUUUGAAAGUUAGCGGCGGACGGGUGAGUAACACGUGGGCAACCUGCCUGCAAGACGGGGAUAACUCCGGGAAACCGGGGCUAAUACCGGAUAAUAUCUUCCUUCGCAUGAAGGAAGGUUGAAAGGCGGCGCAAGCUGCCGCUUGCAGAUGGGCCCGCGGCGCAUUAGCUAGUUGGUGAGGUAACGGCUCACCAAGGCGACGAUGCGUAGCCGACCUGAGAGGGUGAGCGGCCAAGCUGGGACGGGGACACGGCCCAGACUCCUACGGGAGGGAGCAGUAGGGAAUCUUCCGCGAUGGACGAAAGGCGGACGGAGCAACGCCGCGUGAGCGAAGAAGGUCUUCGGGUCGUAAAGCUCUGUUGUCAGGGAAGAACAAGUACCGUUCGAACAGGGCGGUACCUUGACGGUACCUGACCAGAAAGCCACGGCUAACUACGUG